CAGUAGCCACGGUAAUACAGAGGGUGCAAGCGUUAAUCGGAAUUACUGGGCGUAAAGCGCGCGUAGGUGGUUCGCCAAGUUGGAUGUGAAAUCCCCGGGCUCAACCUGGGAACUGCAUCCAAAACUGGCGAGCUAGAGUAUGGUAGAGGAUGGUGGAAUUUCCUGUGUAGCGGUGAAAUGCGUAGAUAUAGGAAGGAACAUCAGUGGCGAAGGCGACCACCUGGACUGAUACUGACACUGAGGUGCGAAAGCGUGGGGAGCAAACAGGAUUAGAGACCCCUGUAGUCCCUGUCUCUUAUAC
This 301-nucleotide ribosomal RNA is filed under the name uncultured bacterium. RNAcentral describes it as "partial 16S ribosomal RNA". It matches the Rfam family "Bacterial small subunit ribosomal RNA", at positions 509 to 807 of the family's 1533-position model. The record is from RNAcentral.